RNAcentral lists this ribosomal RNA (389 nucleotides) under Stramenopiles sp. MAST-1C. RNAcentral describes it as "partial small subunit ribosomal RNA". It matches the Rfam family "Eukaryotic small subunit ribosomal RNA", at positions 582 to 975 of the family's 1831-position model. The record is from RNAcentral.
AUUCCAGCUCCAAUAGCGUAUAUUAAAGUUGUUGCAGUUAAAAAGCUCGUAGUUGGAUUUCUGGCAGGAGCGACCGGUCCGCCGCAAGGUGUGCACUAGGUUGUCUCCAGUCAUCUUUGUGGGAACUGCUCUGGCAUUAGGUUGUCGGGGUUAGGGAACACAUCGUUUACUGUGAAAAAAUUAGAGUGUUUAAAGCAGGCUUAUGCCGUUGAAUACAUUAGCAUGGAAUAAUAAGAUAGGACUUUGGCGUCUAUUUUGUUGGUUUGCACACCAAGGUAAUGAUUAAUAGGGAUAGUUGGGGGUAUUCGUAUUUAAUUGUCAGAGGUGAAAUUCUUGGAUUUAUGAAAGACGAACUUCUGCGAAAGCAUUUACCAAAGAUGUUUUCAUUA